ACACUCCUACGGGAGGCAGCAGUGGGGAAUAUUGGACAAUGGGCGCAAGCCUGAUCCAGCCAUGCCGCGUGAGUGAUGAAGGCCCUAGGGUUGUAAAGCUCUUUCACCGGUGAAGAUAAUGACGGUAACCGGAGAGGAAGCCCCGGCUAACUUCGUGCCAGCAGCCGCGGUAAUACGAAGGGGGCUAGCGUUGUUCGGAUUUACUGGGCGUAAAGCGCACGUAGGCGGACUAUUAAGUCAGGGGUGAAAUCCCGGGGCUCAACCCCGGAACUGCCUUUGAUACUGGUAGUCUUGAGUUCGAGAGAGGUGAGUGGAAUUCCGAGUGUAGAGGUGAAAUUCGUAGAUAUUCGGAGGAACACCAGUGGCGAAGGCGGCUCACUGGCUCGAUACUGACGCUGAGGUGCGAAAGCGUGGGGAGCAAACAGGAUUAGAAACCCCAGUAGUCCCAUA
This 450-nucleotide ribosomal RNA is filed under the name uncultured organism. Its description in RNAcentral is "partial 16S ribosomal RNA". It matches the Rfam family "Bacterial small subunit ribosomal RNA", at positions 333 to 799 of the family's 1533-position model. The record is from RNAcentral.